UGGCCGCGCGGGGCUGGCGCCGGGGUCUCUCAGCUGCGGCGCGGGACACCGGGGUAACCUGGGGACAAGACACCGAGGGAAAGAGAGGCGUCCACUACGGAGCCCUGACUUUUCCGAGUGUGGCCCGCGGCUGGCGGUGGUUGGGGGAAGCGCACGCUCUGACUCCUGCGUUUACUAAGGGCCUGGCACUUUAAUGAGUAUGGUUCCCCCCACUUUGCAAGAUAGGAAAUCGAGGCUCUGGCGGGUUAAACCAAGUGAAAGAAGUGGAGAUUUGGACGCCGGCCCAGUUCGGAGAACGGUCUUUUAUCGUGCACAGUAGGACGCUGAAGGAAGAGCCCACCCCACCGUUCCCGGUUAGACUUUACCCCCAAGCUUAGCCUACUCUUCCUCCCUUCUUCGCUCUGACAAACCCGGAGCGGGGACGUGUUUCCACCCGCUCUUUAAGGGGAGAGAAUGAGUCGGAGCUCGGGUGCCAGCAAGGACAGGACGGAGACGGAGUUAAGAGGCUGUCGGGGUGUAUACGUCACUGAGUGACGGCCCCUGGGGUGGGCGGCCACAGAGGGAGGCGACCUUUGAACAAUGACUUGCUUCACAGGCAGCCCUGAGAGGACAGGGACAGAGACUCCCAGGCAAGAGUCACCGGAGUCACUUCCACUCACCAGAGCCAGUACCACAAGGGAGCCACUGGCGAGGCUUUAGGAGAGUGCUCCGCCUGCGUGCGGUCAGACAGACAGAAGGACCCUUCUGUCCGUCCGCGGUGGCAGAGAAGCGCCAGGCCUGGCUUUUGGAGCUGAGUCCUCCCCCUCCCUACCUCUUUUCAAGGAGAUGGAAAUCAGGUGCACGCUGCCCAGCUUCUCACGUGACCUCUCUCUAAAUAAGCAGUAAGCAACUGCAAAACUCGGAAUGCUAAUAAUGGCCUUUAUUGAGUGAAAAGAGCUAAUUUGGGCAAUGAUGUUUCCCUCCGAUUUGCAAAAGGGAAUUGCAAAUAACCACCAGUAAUAGCAUUGAUGGGAGAUGAUGCUAAACUUCAAUCAGCAUCCGCGUUCGUUAUUCACGUAUUUGGAAGGGGAGCAUUUCCGACACAGUGACUGCGCACACGUGUCACGGUGACAGGGUGCAAACAUCCUGGUCUUCCCGGAAGUGUGACAGCCUCAGAAGGAUCUGCAGUGGUGAGGGCAGACCUAGCUCUCAGGCCCGCUGAGAACAAUGCUCCCCUCAGCCUGGAGGGCCCACCAUGGAAGAAGGUGGAGGAUACUACUGUGAUUUCAGACUAAAACUUCAUUUAGUAGCGGGGAGGUAGAAGGUAAGUCAGCCACAGGGCACCACCACGCCUGAAGCGAUGAAUGUUUUCCUCCUGGAACUGAAUGAAAGCUGUGCUGGACUGGUGAGGGCUGGAUUAUUUACCAUGAGAGAAGGUUGUUCUACCAGUUUGGCGUCCUUGGCUUCCUGGCACCACAGUAACUUUUAUUGCAGAUCAUGGAGGCCUGCAAUAAAAGAUGCAAUAAAGGAUGCUGUCCAACGUGUGGUGAUGUGCCCAGAUACCUUCAGCAAAGACCAAACAGUGGGGCUACCCAGUCAUGGAAAUCAAUGCUCCAAAACUGUAGGCUGUAUAAACCUUUCUUCUACAGAUUCCCAGCUUUGGGUGCUUUGUUAUAGCAUCGGAAAGCAGACUAAGCUAAUGGGUCAAUGGAGGAGAUAGAAUGGAUAUGGAAUGAGGCUGGAGGAGAGAUCUCAUGAAAGGGACCCCUUAAGGGAAGAGUCAGGUAGAUCAUGACUUCCCAGGAAGCCCCAAUCCCCCAAGACAGAAGCACUAAAGCAGAGGAGUGUGGGUGCUACUGAGGACUGGCUCUGACCCGCCAUCUCGCCAUCUCAGAGCUGAGGUGGCAGCGGAGCUCCUGUAACCUUCAGGGUCAUUGGCUUCUCUCCACUCUGCAGACCUGAGGGGACCUGACUAUCUUCCCUGGGUGUCUUGUGCCACAGAAAGGCAAGAGAUAAGGGCAUCUCAGUGUAACAAAACCCUGGCUGUCCUGGAGCUUGCUCUGUAGACCAGGCUAGCCUCCAACCACAGAGCUCCUCCUCCCUCUGCCUCCCGAGUGCUGGGAUUAGAGAGGGUGUGAAGAAACAUGGGGUGCGCCUUCAGGUCUUGGCACCACGGACUCCGAUGUCACUCACCCCUAGGCCUCACUGACAGUGGCUGGUACACAGGGGGAACUGCCUCCUAUAAGUCCCAGAGCCCCUCUGCUGACUCUGGAUCACCCUGAAGCAAGCCUCUCCCAGGUGCCAGGCUGCUAGCAUCUCUUCUAGGAUGGAAGACAUAAUUCUUGCCCUUGCUGUGCAGGGCUCAGGGAGGGGACAAAUGAGAAAGAACACUGGAAACUCCAAAGAGGUCUGGGCCCUCUCCCAGGGAACCACUCCCCUUACCUGGUGAGGAGGCCUUUGCCCCCAUCCCCCAUCAGGAAAGACUCCGAAAAACCAGAAAAUGAGAGUACCGAGAUGAACCGUCACAUCGCGUUAAUAUUUUCACACCACUUAACUCUCAUUAAAAUGUACUUUGCUGAAUUUAAUAUGUGAUUUCAAAUGACACAACAUAUUAAGUGCUUAAUAUACUAGAAAUUAUGAAACUAUUACAGUCGAUGCCAUAUGAAAUAAUUAGAGUGAAUUAAACUUUAGCAGCCGAGUGAAGGCAAGGCUUCAACUUCUAAUGCCUGCAAGUCGCUCAAGCCAACGCUGUAAUCCCCCAAAUAGAUGUCCAGAAAGUAGGCUCUUUAAAUAAAAACCGAGUUUCAUGUGUACUUACACCACAAGGUCUUCUGGGCUUUGGUGACAUGGA
This is a long non-coding RNA of Chionomys nivalis (European snow vole), 2830 nucleotides long. RefSeq lists it as uncharacterized. The transcript is spliced from 4 exons. NCBI's taxonomy places the organism in Eukaryota, Metazoa, Chordata, Mammalia, Rodentia, Cricetidae. The record is from RefSeq and is a predicted model, not a curated record.